This 492-nucleotide ribosomal RNA is filed under the name uncultured bacterium. RNAcentral describes it as "partial 16S ribosomal RNA". It matches the Rfam family "Bacterial small subunit ribosomal RNA", at positions 29 to 507 of the family's 1533-position model. The record is from RNAcentral.
AGUGAACGCUGGCGGUAGGCCUAACACAUGCAAGUCGAACGGCAGCACAGUAAGAGCUUGCUCUUACGGGUGGCGAGUGGCGGACGGGUGAGGAAUACAUCGGAAUCUACUUUUUCGUGGGGGAUAACGUAGGGAAACUUACGCUAAUACCGCAUACGACCUACGGGUGAAAGCAGGGGAUCUUCGGACCUUGCGCGAUUGAAUGAGCCGAUGUCGGAUUAGCUAGUUGGUGGGGUAAAGGCCCACCAAGGCGACGAUCCGUAGCGGGUCUGAGAGGAUGAUCAGCCACACUGGAACUGAGACACGGUCCAGACUCCUACGGGAGGCAGCAGUGGGGAAUAUUGGACAAUGGGCGCAAGCCUGAUCCAGCCAUACCGCGUGGGUGAAGAAGGCCUUCGGGUUGUAAAGCCCUUUUGUUGGGAAAGAAAAGCAGCAGGUUAAUACCCCGCUGUUCUGACGGUACCCAAAGAAUAAGCACCGGCUAACUUCGUG